RNAcentral lists this ribosomal RNA (253 nucleotides) under uncultured bacterium. RNAcentral describes it as "partial 16S ribosomal RNA". It matches the Rfam family "Bacterial small subunit ribosomal RNA", at positions 524 to 776 of the family's 1533-position model. The record is from RNAcentral.
UACAGAGGGGGCAAGCGUUGUUCGGAAUUACUGGGCGUAAAGGGCGCGUAGGCGGCCUACUAAGUCGAACGUGAAAUCCCCAGGCUUAACCUGGGAACUGCGUCGGAUACUGGAUGGCUUGAAUUCGGGAGAGGGAUGCAGAAUUCCAGGUGUAGCGGUGAAAUGCGUAGAUAUCUGGAGGAAUACCGGUGGCGAAGGCGGCAUCCUGGACCGACAUUGACGCUGAUGAGCGAAAGCUAGGGGAGCAAACGGG